UAAUUUCCGGCGAGUCUGCGUCUUUUCUCCGGUGUAGACCGAUGUCUCGCACCGGAGCUUCUCUCAUUCGUUCUGAAUUUCGAGCUCGCCUUCUUUUCUCGCGGAUUUCUCCCGCCGCGGCUCCUGAUUACUCCAGCCGUCGGCGAGGUUCGCUGCCGCCGCCUCUAAAAUGGAAGACCGGCGAGCGGCACCGCCACCCUCCCCCUUCUCUUUUCACACUCUAUAUACCUCUUGAAGAACCCCCAAAAUAAAAGCCCUAAUUUUAUCGUCAUAGCUCGCCGCCGCUGAGGUCCGUCUGUGGAUCGCCGAGGCAGGCGUCGGUUUGGGGUUCAUCGACCUGCUGAUGUAUCGCCACGCCGUCGACUCGGUGAAGUCCAACGAGUGGACGCUGCUCUGUCCUACCAUCCCGUUUGACUUGAUCUCUUCUGAGAGCGCUGCUGCCGCCAUCGAGUUCCGGUGAUUGCCAUCUCCUUUACUUCUCCCGCCGUCGACUUCUCGCAGGCAUCCCGCGUUCUUUCCCCACCCCGGUUUCUCACAAGUAAAAGGGGAAGUUCCUCACAAAAGGAACGAUUAUGGAGAAUGUAGGGCCAAGUCUUACCCUUGAAAUCAGGCAGCAGCUGAAUGAAGCUCCUCAUUUUGCUUGAUGAUGCACGAAGAAGGAAGAAAUGAAGAGGAGAUUUAUCUGCUGAAAAUAUGAAGGAAGAAGUUGUUGGCUAUACUUCAUAUGAGGGACUUGGAAAAGAUGGAAGGCAGGAAUAGGGUGGCUGAAUGUUCAGCUACUUCUGUACCUUAGCAUGGCUUGCCAUGAAAUGGUGCUGCAGAGGAAGGAAAUAAUCUGCUGUAUUUAUAUUAUUUGAUUUGUGUAAUCUGGAUCUUUAAUUAUCCCAUCGGCUCUUGCUAAAUAACAACGCCUCGUCGUAAAUAUCUACGAAUUAAA
Long non-coding RNA from Salvia miltiorrhiza (redroot sage), 937 nucleotides. RefSeq lists it as uncharacterized. The transcript has 2 exons. NCBI's taxonomy places the organism in Eukaryota, Viridiplantae, Streptophyta, Magnoliopsida, Lamiales, Lamiaceae. The record is from RefSeq and is a predicted model, not a curated record.